AGCAUGCAUUGUGGUUUUGUUGAACUAGUGGACAAAAACAGAGGAGAUACUUGCAAGGGCCUAGCUUCUUUUACAACCAGAACCCAGCGUUCAGAAUGAGUACUGAUACAUACAAGAAGGGCUAUA
Chionomys nivalis (European snow vole) is the source of this 126-nucleotide small nucleolar RNA. RefSeq annotates it as small nucleolar RNA SNORA40. Lineage: Eukaryota; Metazoa; Chordata; Mammalia; Rodentia; Cricetidae. The record is from RefSeq and is a predicted model, not a curated record. The transcript has a single exon.